This 376-nucleotide ribosomal RNA is filed under the name uncultured eukaryote. RNAcentral describes it as "partial 18S ribosomal RNA". It matches the Rfam family "Eukaryotic small subunit ribosomal RNA", at positions 592 to 975 of the family's 1831-position model. The record is from RNAcentral.
CAAUAGCGUAUAUUAAAGUUGUUGCGGUUAAAAAGCUCGUAGUUGGAUUUCUGUCGAGGGAGAUCGGUCCGAUCUACGAUCGCGUAUCUGAUACUCGCUCGGCAUCCGGAAGUUUAAGGCUGUUGCUUUACUGCAAUAUCCAUAGGCUUCUCUUUUACUUUGAGGAAAUUAGAGUGUUCACGGCAGGCAAUCGCCCUGAAUACAUUAGCAUGGAAUAAUAAUAUAGGACUUCAGUUCUAUUUUGUUGGUUUCUAGAGCUGAGGUAAUGAUUAAUAGGGACAAUUGGGGGCAUUCGUAUUAUCACGUCAGAGGUGGAAUUCUUGGAUUGUGUUACGACGAACUACUGCGAAAGCAUUUGCCAAGGAUGUUUNCAUUG